UCUGGCGGCAGCGGUGGUCCCACCUGACCCCAUGCCGAACUCAGAAGUGAAACGCCGUAGCGCCGAUGGUAGUGUGGGGUCUCCCCAUGCGAGAGUAGGGAACUGCCAGAC
Molecule: ribosomal RNA, 111 nt
Filed under: Escherichia coli
Lineage: Bacteria; Pseudomonadati; Pseudomonadota; Gammaproteobacteria; Enterobacterales; Enterobacteriaceae
Source: RNAcentral